CGCUAGGACGAACGCUGGCGGCGUGCCUAACACAUGCAAGUCGAACGGAGUAAGAUUUUCGGAUUUACUUAGUGGCGAACGGGUGAGUAACGCGUGAACAACCUGCCUUUCUGAGGGGGAUAACACCUGGAAACAAGUGCUAAUACCGCAUAAGACCACAGAGCCGCAUGACUCAGGGGUCAAAGGAGUGAUCCGCAGGAAGAGGGGUUCGCGUCCCAUUAGCUAGUUGGCGGGGCAACGGCCCACCAAGGCGACGAUGGGUAGCCGAGCUGAGAGGCUGAUCGGCCACACUGGAACUGAGACACGGUCCAGACUCCUACGGGAGGCAGCAGUGGGGAAUAUUGGGCAAUGGGCGCAAGCCUGAACCCCAGCAACGCCGCGUGAGGGAAGAAGGUCUUCGGAUUGUAAACCUCUGUCCUAUGUGGCGAAGGAAGUGACGGUAGCAUAGGAGGAAGCCCCGGCUAACUACGUGCCAGCCGCCGC
RNAcentral lists this ribosomal RNA (483 nucleotides) under uncultured bacterium. RNAcentral describes it as "bacterial SSU rRNA". It matches the Rfam family "Bacterial small subunit ribosomal RNA", at positions 26 to 518 of the family's 1533-position model. The record is from RNAcentral.